RNAcentral lists this ribosomal RNA (370 nucleotides) under uncultured soil bacterium. RNAcentral's name for it is "bacterial SSU rRNA". It matches the Rfam family "Bacterial small subunit ribosomal RNA", at positions 26 to 412 of the family's 1533-position model. The record is from RNAcentral.
AGAUUGAACGCUGGCGGCAUGCCUAACACAUGCAAGUCGAACGGGAGUAGCAAUACUCUAGUGGCGGACGGGUGAGGAAUACGUAGGAAUUUGCCCUUAAGUGGGGGAUAACCCGGGGAAACCCGGAUUAAUACCGCAUGACCUCGAAAGAGCAAAGUGGGGGAUCGCAAGACCUCACGCUUUUGGAGAAGCCUACGUCGGAUUAGCUAGUUGGUGAGGUAAUGGCUCACCAAGGCGACGAUCCGUAACUGGUCUGAGAGGAUGAUCAGUCACACCGGAACUGAGACACGGUCCGACUCCUACGGGAGCAGCAGUGGGGAAUAUUGGACAAUGGGCGCAAGCCUGAUCCAGCAAUGCCGCGUGUGAAGAA